This 2803-nucleotide ribosomal RNA is filed under the name Escherichia coli. RNAcentral's name for it is "bacterial LSU rRNA". It matches the Rfam family "Bacterial large subunit ribosomal RNA". Lineage: Bacteria; Pseudomonadati; Pseudomonadota; Gammaproteobacteria; Enterobacterales; Enterobacteriaceae. The record is from RNAcentral.
GGGUUGUGAGGUUAAGCGACUAAGCGUACACGGUGGAUGCCCUGGCAGUCAGAGGCGAUGAAGGACGUGCUAAUCUGCGAUAAGCGUCGGUAAGGUGAUAUGAACCGUUAUAACCGGCGAUUUCCGAAUGGGGAAACCCAGUGUGUUUCGACACACUAUCAUUAACUGAAUCCAUAGGUUAAUGAGGCGAACCGGGGGAACUGAAACAUCUAAGUACCCCGAGGAAAAGAAAUCAACCGAGAUUCCCCCAGUAGCGGCGAGCGAACGGGGAGCAGCCCAGAGCCUGAAUCAGUGUGUGUGUUAGUGGAAGCGUCUGGAAAGGCGCGCGAUACAGGGUGACAGCCCCGUACACAAAAAUGCACAUGCUGUGAGCUCGAUGAGUAGGGCGGGACACGUGGUAUCCUGUCUGAAUAUGGGGGGACCAUCCUCCAAGGCUAAAUACUCCUGACUGACCGAUAGUGAACCAGUACCGUGAGGGAAAGGCGAAAAGAACCCCGGCGAGGGGAGUGAAAAAGAACCUGAAACCGUGUACGUACAAGCAGUGGGAGCACGCUUAGGCGUGUGACUGCGUACCUUUUGUAUAAUGGGUCAGCGACUUAUAUUCUGUAGCAAGGUUAACCGAAUAGGGGAGCCGAAGGGAAACCGAGUCUUAACUGGGCGUUAAGUUGCAGGGUAUAGACCCGAAACCCGGUGAUCUAGCCAUGGGCAGGUUGAAGGUUGGGUAACACUAACUGGAGGACCGAACCGACUAAUGUUGAAAAAUUAGCGGAUGACUUGUGGCUGGGGGUGAAAGGCCAAUCAAACCGGGAGAUAGCUGGUUCUCCCCGAAAGCUAUUUAGGUAGCGCCUCGUGAAUUCAUCUCCGGGGGUAGAGCACUGUUUCGGCAAGGGGGUCAUCCCGACUUACCAACCCGAUGCAAACUGCGAAUACCGGAGAAUGUUAUCACGGGAGACACACGGCGGGUGCUAACGUCCGUCGUGAAGAGGGAAACAACCCAGACCGCCAGCUAAGGUCCCAAAGUCAUGGUUAAGUGGGAAACGAUGUGGGAAGGCCCAGACAGCCAGGAUGUUGGCUUAGAAGCAGCCAUCAUUUAAAGAAAGCGUAAUAGCUCACUGGUCGAGUCGGCCUGCGCGGAAGAUGUAACGGGGCUAAACCAUGCACCGAAGCUGCGGCAGCGACACUAUGUGUUGUUGGGUAGGGGAGCGUUCUGUAAGCCUGUGAAGGUGUGCUGUGAGGCAUGCUGGAGGUAUCAGAAGUGCGAAUGCUGACAUAAGUAACGAUAAAGCGGGUGAAAAGCCCGCUCGCCGGAAGACCAAGGGUUCCUGUCCAACGUUAAUCGGGGCAGGGUGAGUCGACCCCUAAGGCGAGGCCGAAAGGCGUAGUCGAUGGGAAACAGGUUAAUAUUCCUGUACUUGGUGUUACUGCGAAGGGGGGACGGAGAAGGCUAUGUUGGCCGGGCGACGGUUGUCCCGGUUUAAGCGUGUAGGCUGGUUUUCCAGGCAAAUCCGGAAAAUCAAGGCUGAGGCGUGAUGACGAGGCACUACGGUGCUGAAGCAACAAAUGCCCUGCUUCCAGGAAAAGCCUCUAAGCAUCAGGUAACAUCAAAUCGUACCCCAAACCGACACAGGUGGUCAGGUAGAGAAUACCAAGGCGCUUGAGAGAACUCGGGUGAAGGAACUAGGCAAAAUGGUGCCGUAACUUCGGGAGAAGGCACGCUGAUAUGUAGGUGAAGUCCCUCGCGGAUGGAGCUGAAAUCAGUCGAAGAUACCAGCUGGCUGCAACUGUUUAUUAAAAACACAGCACUGUGCAAACACGAAAGUGGACGUAUACGGUGUGACGCCUGCCCGGUGCCGGAAGGUUAAUUGAUGGGGUUAGCCGCAAGGCGAAGCUCUUGAUCGAAGCCCCGGUAAACGGCGGCCGUAACUAUAACGGUCCUAAGGUAGCGAAAUUCCUUGUCGGGUAAGUUCCGACCUGCACGAAUGGCGUAAUGAUGGCCAGGCUGUCUCCACCCGAGACUCAGUGAAAUUGAACUCGCUGUGAAGAUGCAGUGUACCCGCGGCAAGACGGAAAGACCCCGUGAACCUUUACUAUAGCUUGACACUGAACAUUGAGCCUUGAUGUGUAGGAUAGGUGGGAGGCUUAGAAGUGUGGACGCCAGUCUGCAUGGAGCCGACCUUGAAAUACCACCCUUUAAUGUUUGAUGUUCUAACGUUGACCCGUAAUCCGGGUUGCGGACAGUGUCUGGUGGGUAGUUUGACUGGGGCGGUCUCCUCCUAAAGAGUAACGGAGGAGCACGAAGGUUGGCUAAUCCUGGUCGGACAUCAGGAGGUUAGUGCAAUGGCAUAAGCCAGCUUGACUGCGAGCGUGACGGCGCGAGCAGGUGCGAAAGCAGGUCAUAGUGAUCCGGUGGUUCUGAAUGGAAGGGCCAUCGCUCAACGGAUAAAAGGUACUCCGGGGAUAACAGGCUGAUACCGCCCAAGAGUUCAUAUCGACGGCGGUGUUUGGCACCUCGAUGUCGGCUCAUCACAUCCUGGGGCUGAAGUAGGUCCCAAGGGUAUGGCUGUUCGCCAUUUAAAGUGGUACGCGAGCUGGGUUUAGAACGUCGUGAGACAGUUCGGUCCCUAUCUGCCGUGGGCGCUGGAGAACUGAGGGGGGCUGCUCCUAGUACGAGAGGACCGGAGUGGACGCAUCACUGGUGUUCGGGUUGUCAUGCCAAUGGCACUGCCCGGUAGCUAAAUGCGGAAGAGAUAAGUGCUGAAAGCAUCUAAGCACGAAACUUGCCCCGAGAUGAGUUCUCCCUGAC